Molecule: ribosomal RNA, 252 nt
Filed under: uncultured bacterium
Lineage: Bacteria
Description: partial 16S ribosomal RNA
Rfam family: Bacterial small subunit ribosomal RNA
Source: RNAcentral
UACGUAGGUCCCGAGCGUUGUCCGGAUUUAUUGGGCGUAAAGCGAGCGCAGGUGGUUUAUUAAGUCUGGUGUAAAAGGCAGUGGCUCAACCAUUGUAUGCAUUGGAAACUGGUAGACUUGAGUGCAGGAGAGGAGAGUGGAAUUCCAUGUGUAGCGGUGAAAUGCGUAGAUAUAUGGAGGAACACCGGUGGCGAAGGCGGUCUGCUGGACAGCAACUGACGCUGAGGCGCGAAAGCGUGGGGAGCAAACAGG